This 482-nucleotide ribosomal RNA is filed under the name uncultured bacterium. RNAcentral describes it as "bacterial SSU rRNA". It matches the Rfam family "Bacterial small subunit ribosomal RNA", at positions 29 to 506 of the family's 1533-position model. The record is from RNAcentral.
UUGAACGCUGGCGGCAUGCCUUACACAUGCAAGUCGAGCGGCAGCGCGGGGGCAACCCUGGCGGCGAGCGGCGAACGGGUGAGUAAUAUAUCGGAACGUGUCCAGUUGUGGGGGAUAACUAGUCGAAAGAUUGACUAAUACCGCAUACGACCUACGGAUGAAAGCGGGGGACCGCAAGGCCUCGCGCUAUUGGAGCGGCCGAUGUCGGAUUAGCUAGUUGGCGGGGUAACGGCCCACCAAGGCGACGAUCCGUAGCUGGUCUGAGAGGACGACCAGCCACACUGGAACUGAGACACGGUCCAGACUCCUACGGGAGGCAGCAGUGGGGAAUUUUGGACAAUGGGGGCAAGCCUGAUCCAGCCAUGCCGCGUGAGUGAAGAAGGCCUUCGGGUUGUAAAGCUCUUUCAGCGGGGACGAAACGGUCGGUGACAACACCGCGGGCUAAUGACGGUACUCGCAGAAGAAGCACCGGCUAACUACGU